Molecule: long non-coding RNA, 299 nt
Organism: Pollicipes pollicipes
Lineage: Eukaryota; Metazoa; Arthropoda; Thecostraca; Pollicipedomorpha; Pollicipedidae
Exons: 3
Source: RefSeq, a predicted model, not a curated record
CCUGCCCAUGUUCUACUCGGGCGGCGCCGGACACGCCCGACAACUGCGUCAUCAGUCCCACGCCGAGCCAGGGCCACCUAGGCCACCACAGCCGCGACUCCAGCCUCACCGAGGACAGCUAUGUGCCGAUGCUGCGUGUGGCGGCCGACAUCGGCGCCGACGACGCCAGCUACAUGUCCAUGAAGCCCGGCCUGCCGCCUCUCUCGGACGACAUCAGCCACAGUCGCAGCUCCAGCGCGGCGGACCAAGACGGCUACGUGCCGAUGGUGCCCGGUCAGCUGUCGUUCAACCGUCGACGC